GACGAACGCUGGCGGCGUGCUUAACACAUGCAAGUCGAACGGAAAGGCCCUGCUUUUGUGGGGUGCUCGAGUGGCGAACGGGUGAGUAACACGUGAGUAACCUGCCCUUGACUUUGGGAUAACUUCAGGAAACUGGGGCUAAUACCGGAUAGGAGCUCCUGCUGCAUGGUGGGGGUUGGAAAGUUUCGGCGGUCGGGGAUGGACUCGCGGCUUAUCAGCUUGUUGGUUGGGUAGUGGCUUACCAAGGCUUUGACGGGUAGCCGGCCUGAGAGGGUGACCGGCCACAUUGGGACUGAGAUACGGCCCAGACUCCUACGGUAGACAGCAGUGGGGAAUAUUGCACAAUGGGCGGAAGCCUGAUGCAGCAACGCCGCGUGCGGGAUGACGGCCUUCGGGUUGUAAACCGCUUUCGCCUGUGACGAAGCGUGAGUGACGGUAAUGGGUAAAGAAGCACCGGCUAACUACGUG
This 468-nucleotide ribosomal RNA is filed under the name uncultured bacterium. RNAcentral describes it as "partial 16S ribosomal RNA". It matches the Rfam family "Bacterial small subunit ribosomal RNA", at positions 28 to 507 of the family's 1533-position model. The record is from RNAcentral.